Dermacentor andersoni is the source of this 1895-nucleotide non-coding RNA. Lineage: Eukaryota; Metazoa; Arthropoda; Arachnida; Ixodida; Ixodidae. The record is from RefSeq and is a predicted model, not a curated record.
UGCGUUGAAAGCUGCGAUCGAGCAGCCAUUUGCCAGCGACGGCACAUUCUUCUACCGUGGUUGAUAUUUCUCACUGCUUUGAACCCCCAAGACUCCACGGAUGCCUUCCUACCGGCAUUGCAUCCUGUGGCUGACCACACCAACGAUUUUCGCAGAAUCGUUACACAGCAUGGCUCAUACUCAGUGAUGCAGUGCUGGACGUAUUCGACCAAGCCUAGUGCGAGUUCUCGUGAUGCCUCACAUUGUUUCUUCCUUGGACCAAAGGGACGGCAAGGUCUUUCCGCCUGCAAAUGUUUGCAUAGUUUUCAAAGAUAAUUCCCUCCCUGCUUUGUGUGCUUGAUUUGAAUGUAAGUUACAUUACACAGAAUGUAUACCCCCCUGCAAUGCCAGUACAGGCGAAGCAGGUACUAAAUAGAUAACCACAAAAGGAUUUUGGAGCGAGAAAAAAUGGCAUGUGCAAUAAAGAUAAACGCAGAUGUCCCGUCGGUGUCGCUGUCAAACAAGAAAUUGUGAUAUCAAGGGACUGAGCAAAAUAACUAAACGUGUGCUUGCCAAACUAUAGCUGUCAUUUGCACCUUGAUUGUGACUUAGCUACCAGAAGAAGUUUUCUUUGUGUUUGUCUUGUUCUUUUUCUGUGAAAAUGUACUUUUUUCUUUGUUUACUUUCGUUUGGGUUUUUUUAGCUAUAUCAUGUGCGCAGGUGACCAAUAAUGCCGUGUGGAAAUUAGUGGUUGUUGGUAUUUCUCACUGCCUGCCUGUUCAAUGUGUGUACUAAAGUCAAUAGAGCACCAACCAGUAUAAACCAGUGUGUUGAAUUUGUUAUCGUGUUUUAGUACGAAUGAUCUGACUGAUUAUGCGCCCAGAUAAACAAUUAGAUUAUGAAAACAAAGUUCAUCAGAACGUGUCAUUCGUUUUACUUAUAAUAACCCUAUUUCAACUGCAGGACCCACAUGUUCAGGCAUGUAGAGUUAAGUAGAACAAGUCUUUUUGCGAUUGUUAGUUCUGAAAAAGUGAGAGCAGUGCUAAGGACACAAAGUGAGUCCACAUAGAUAAAUGGCAUGGUGCACUGUGCACGGACUGAUAAUUGAUGUGUUUUUGCAACAGACAAGCAAAUAAAUAUCCAGUAACACUUUGUCAAAGGCACGAAAGCAAAUAAAGAGGCAGGUUGUGGUCACAUACAAAUGUGCCGUGGUUGUAGGUUUGUUAACAAGCAUGCCACUUUCCUGUAACUUCAGAAUACAGGUGCUGCGCUGACAUAUUCAUCUUUUUUGCUGUUAUUUUGGGGGAUUUGAUUAGUUUCUGGGUUAAUGGUUGCUGCUUUCGCUAACAUGUUCACUUGUGAAAUUCGGGGCAUAAUCUGCACUGUUUACAGUGUAUGUACCCUAAUGGUCACAUUAUAGUGGCGCUUAAUCGUGAAGGCUCUCAUUCAAACAUGGACUUGUCUGGUCUACAUAUGCUUUUCUUCAUGCCAAAAAAUAAGAUAUACUACGUUUCAGUCAAAAGAAAAGAAACUGAGACUGGUGUCUAUUAUUGCACAUAAAUCUAUGCUUAGUUGCGUUAAUAUUUUUGCAUAAUUUCAACAACUUAUUUGGUGCUUUUCUGUGACAUUCACACUCUGGCUUAUCAACGUAGGUGUAAUAAAGGCAAAAAAGUAAAGCAUUGCAGUGGAUUUAACUUAAUGCUCUUGAUUCUGUUACCUUUUGGCAGCUUUUUUUUUGGAAAAGCAUAUGUACAAAAGCACGUUUUAACCAAAUAUGCUGCUGUUUGCGAGGCUUUGCAAGCACCACUAUAACGUGACAAAAGCAGUGUGUGGCCAUUUGGUUAUACAAUUUCUGGUAUAUUGACACCACAAAAAGUAAACGAAGAAAGAUAUGUACGCAUGACACAAGCACCGGA